This 430-nucleotide unclassified non-coding RNA is filed under the name Hevea brasiliensis (rubber tree). The record is from RNAcentral. Lineage: Eukaryota; Viridiplantae; Streptophyta; Magnoliopsida; Malpighiales; Euphorbiaceae.
UUCCAAGGUAGGAGAUGAUGUGAUGUUCUUCAUUCUUCAUCAAUCACCUAUGCUUGAAAGGCAGUGAUCAGGUGAUUUAUUACAAUAAUUAUAGCUAUAUUCAAGAAAUCCAGUCCCUUUGAAUUCUUGCAGGUUGGAGAUUCUUUCCCUUUUUGUGGAGCUGCAAGCAUUUCUGAGAGGUUAAAGAAGUUCGUUCAAGAUGCUAAUUCAUUUUGAAGUUUGAAGCUUUAAUGGUGAAAGUUCUGUGAGAAUUAACUAGUAUGUUUUUCAUACAUAUGUCUAUACUAGGUUUCUGUUUGGGAGGAAAUUUUAUAAAGUAUUGGUAGGUUUUUGAAGAUUUCAAAACUUUAAAUUUAUGUUCGUGAGAAUUCUGGGUUUUUAAAGUAAGAUUUUUUGAGAUUUUAAAAUAAAAAAAAAACCUUUAUUUUAG